This 70-nucleotide transfer RNA is filed under the name Hemidactylus almakhwah (Al Makhwah gecko). RNAcentral's name for it is "tRNA-Met". Lineage: Eukaryota; Metazoa; Chordata; Lepidosauria; Squamata; Gekkonidae. The record is from RNAcentral.
AGUAAAGUCAGCUAAAAAAGCUAUCGGGCCCAUACCCCGAAUAUGUUGGUAUAAAAUCCCUCCUAUACUA